RNAcentral lists this ribosomal RNA (497 nucleotides) under uncultured bacterium. Its description in RNAcentral is "partial 16S ribosomal RNA". It matches the Rfam family "Bacterial small subunit ribosomal RNA", at positions 28 to 507 of the family's 1533-position model. The record is from RNAcentral.
GAUGAACGCUGGCGGCGUGCCUAAUACAUGCAAGUCGAGCGAACGGACGAGAAGCUUGCUUUUCUGAUGUUAGCGGCGGACGGGUGAGUAACACGUGGAUAACCUACCCAUAAGACUGGGAUAACUUCGGGAAACCGGAGCUAAUACCGGAUAAUAUUUUGAACCGCAUGGUUCAAAAGUGAAAGACGGUCUUGCUGUCACUUAUAGAUGGAUCCGCGCUGCAUUAGCUAGUUGGUAAGGUAACGGCUUACCAAGGCAACGAUGCAUAGCCGACCUGAGAGGGUGAUCGGCCACACUGGAACUGAGACACGGUCCAGACUCCUACGGGAGGCAGCAGUAGGGAAUCUUCCGCAAUGGGCGAAAGCCUGACGGAGCAACGCCGCGUGAGUGAUGAAGGUCUUCGGAUCGUAAAACUCUGUUAUUAGGGAAGAACAUAUGUGUAAGUAACUGUGCACAUCUUGACGGUACCUAAUCAGAAAGCCACGGCUAACUACGUG